RNAcentral lists this ribosomal RNA (604 nucleotides) under fungal sp. ARIZ L237cA. RNAcentral's name for it is "eukaryotic LSU rRNA". The stretch from base 219 to 372 matches the Rfam family "5.8S ribosomal RNA". RNAcentral also lists the same sequence under 1 other name. Lineage: Eukaryota; Fungi. The record is from RNAcentral.
CUUGGUCAUUUAGAGGAAGUAAAAGUCGUAACAAGGUCUCCGUUGGUGAACCAGCGGAGGGAUCAUUACCGAGUUAUUCAACUCAUCAACCCUGUGAACAUACCUAAACGUUGCUUCGGCGGGAAUAGACGGCCCCGUGAAACGGGCCGCCCCCGCCAGAGGACCCUUAACUCUGUUUCUAUAAUGUUUCUUCUGAGUAAAACAAGCAAAUAAAUUAAAACUUUCAACAACGGAUCUCUUGGCUCUGGCAUCGAUGAAGAACGCAGCGAAAUGCGAUAAGUAAUGUGAAUUGCRGAAUUCAGUGAAUCAUCGAAUCUUUGAACGCACAUUGCGCCCGCCAGUAUUCUGGCGGGCAUGCCUGUUCGAGCGUCAUUACAACCCUCAGGCCCCCGGGCCUGGCGUUGGGGAUCGGCGGAGCCUCUCUGUGGGCACACGCCGUCCCCCAAAUACAGUGGCGGUCCCGCCGCAGCUUCCAUCGCGUAGUAGCUAACACCUCGCGACUGGAGAGCGGCGCGGCCACGCCGUAAAACACCCAACUCUUCUGAAGUUGACCUCGAAUCAGGUAGGAAUACCCGCUGAACUUAAGCAUAUCAAUAAGCGGAGG